Molecule: ribosomal RNA, 383 nt
Filed under: Salmonella enterica subsp. enterica serovar Weltevreden
Lineage: Bacteria; Pseudomonadati; Pseudomonadota; Gammaproteobacteria; Enterobacterales; Enterobacteriaceae
Also listed under: 1 other name
Description: partial 23S ribosomal RNA
Rfam family: Bacterial large subunit ribosomal RNA
Source: RNAcentral
UAGGUAGCGCCUCGUGAAUUCAUCUCCGGGGGUAGAGCACUGUUUCGGCUAGGGGGCCAUCCCGGCUUACCAACCCGAUGCAAACUGCGAAUACCGGAGAAUGUUAUCACGGGAGACACACGGCGGGUGCUAACGUCCGUCGUGAAGAGGGAAACAACCCAGACCGCCAGCUAAGGUCCCAAAGUCAUGGUUAAGUGGGAAACGAUGUGGGAAGGCCCAGACAGCCAGGAUGUUGGCUUAGAAGCAGCCAUCAUUUAAAGAAAGCGUAAUAGCUCACUGGUCGAGUCGGCCUGCGCGGAAGAUGUAACGGGGCUAAACCAUGCACCGAAGCUGCGGCAGCGACGCUUAUGCGUUGUUGGGUAGGGGAGCGUUCUGUAAGCCUG